GCGUCACAACGUGUCAAGCGGGCCGUAGUUUGCGCAUAUUGUUUUCGCAUUAUUCUUCCGCCACGAUCAUAAUAAAGUGCACGUCGCAUAUGAUUAACGUCGAAAGUGUCGUGCAAAGUGUCGCGCGAUUGUCAUAUUCCGUUUUUCUCUCUUUGAGUGACGCGCGUGAGAUUGUAACCUUAUUUUCGGAAGAUCUAUUGUACGAAAGUGCUACAAGAAAAAGCAACUCGGAAGAAACUAAGAGAAGGGAUAAGUCUAGGAGGCCUCAGAAAUGGUGGAUGCAAUCUUAGGAUUAACGUGGCGUCGCAAUUCUGCGCAUCGAUUUCAAAAUUAGUGACUGUCAUGUAAGAAGAUGGUGGGAGAUACUAACUGAUUAGAUCUUCAUUGGAAUGUAAUACCGAUUUAUAUACAAAAAAGAUUAUAUAAAUAUUUAAAUAAGAUACUGUAGAGGACCGAGAAAUCGUAUAAUAUA
Long non-coding RNA from Wasmannia auropunctata (little fire ant), 472 nucleotides. RefSeq lists it as uncharacterized. Lineage: Eukaryota; Metazoa; Arthropoda; Insecta; Hymenoptera; Formicidae. The record is from RefSeq and is a predicted model, not a curated record. The transcript is spliced from 3 exons.